UCUACCUACAAUACACACAUACUUAAUGAUUGGUAAUUCCUUACAAGUUAAUGAGUUUCAGACUUAAGUAUGAUGUUGUGUUUGCAUAUAGUUCGGUUCUCCGAACUGGAGUAACAAUUAAGUUACUCAUUUACUUCCUGUAUAUA
This 146-nucleotide small RNA is filed under the name Haemophilus parainfluenzae ATCC 33392. RNAcentral's name for it is "GcvB RNA". It matches the Rfam family "GcvB RNA", at positions 1 to 144 of the family's 204-position model. Rfam says of the family: The gcvB gene encodes a small untranslated RNA involved in expression of the dipeptide and oligopeptide transport systems in Escherichia coli. Included several unknown homologues in alignment (Bateman A pers obs). The record is from RNAcentral. Lineage: Bacteria; Pseudomonadati; Pseudomonadota; Gammaproteobacteria; Pasteurellales; Pasteurellaceae.